AUUGAACGCUGGCGGCAUGCCUUACACAUGCAAGUCGAACGGCAGCACGGGUGCUUGCACCUGGUGCGAGUGGCGGAACGGGGUGAGUAACUACAUCGGAAUGUACCUUGUAGUGGGGGAUAGCUCGGCGAAAGCCGGAUUAAUACCGCAUACGCUCUGAGGAGGAAAGCGGGGGACCUUCGGGCCUCGUGCUACAAGAGCAGCCGAUGUCAGAUUAGCUUGUUGGUGAGGUAAAAGCUCACCAAGGCGACGAUCUGUAGCUGGUCUGAGAGGACGACCAGCCACACUGAGACUGAGACACGGCCCAGACUCCUACGGGAGGCAGCAGUGGGAAUUUUGGACAAUGGGCGAAAGCCUGAUCCAGCAAUGCCG
Molecule: ribosomal RNA, 372 nt
Filed under: uncultured Pandoraea sp.
Lineage: Bacteria; Pseudomonadati; Pseudomonadota; Betaproteobacteria; Burkholderiales; Burkholderiaceae
Description: bacterial SSU rRNA
Rfam family: Bacterial small subunit ribosomal RNA
Source: RNAcentral